Molecule: long non-coding RNA, 239 nt
Filed under: Malus domestica (apple)
Lineage: Eukaryota; Viridiplantae; Streptophyta; Magnoliopsida; Rosales; Rosaceae
Description: long non-coding RNA (MDOM_LNC013794)
Source: RNAcentral
AAUUCUCCGUUCUCUUGCAAGAUAGAUCCUAGGUAGCGAAAACGGUCGCUUUUUGUGAUUUUCGCUAGAUUGCUCCGGUCAUUAGUGUGGAUAAGUAUAUAAAUGGAUAGAGAUAGGAAAGCAAACACAAGAUGUACGUGGUUCACCCAUAUUGGCUACGUCCACGAAAUAGAAGAGUUCUCAUUAAUUGUGAAGGGUUUACACAAGUACAUAGGUUCAAGCUCUCCUUUAGUGAGUAC